GAUUGAUCUUAUCACUUUAUUUACGAUACAAGGAAAGUAGGUUUGCUACAUGUAUCUUCUUAAUUUUUUUUCAAUUUUACCCCUUUAAACUUUUUUAAAGGGCUAUAACUAAUAGAUUUCAAUUAUACUGCCACCUGCCUUUCUCCAAGGCAAUCAGUAUACUAGCAGUUUUCAAUAAACAUAUAAAUCAGUUAGGAAGACAUAAAAGAAAGCAUUUAUGAUAACAUUUAAUUUAUAUAGGGCACCGGGAUAUCGCGAAAUAUGAUUGUGUUAAUAAAUCGCGCGAUAAAGAUAUCGCGAAAUUUUCCCGGUUUACAGUAUAAUAAAACCCCCUUCGCACAGGAAUAUAAUUUGUCCAAAAUAAGGUAUUCUUCCAGAAAUGAUAUAUUUGGUAAAGAUUGACACAACAUUUAAUAUGAUUUUGACAUCGCAAUGUAGGCACCCAUGGCUUAUUGCAUUCUUGGACAAGUAUGACAUCAUCAUUAACUUUGAACUCAGGUUCCUUAAAUGAAGAGCUAGCGCGCAUGGUCCACCAUCACAAC
RNAcentral lists this long non-coding RNA (542 nucleotides) under Mytilus galloprovincialis (Mediterranean mussel). The record is from RNAcentral. Lineage: Eukaryota; Metazoa; Mollusca; Bivalvia; Mytilida; Mytilidae.